CCAUCCGGGCUCUAUCUCGUUUAAUCGAUCGAUAAAGCCAACCUCCCUCCUGCGCCUCUGCUCCGUCCAGAAUACCACAGGUCUACAUCGCCUAGGCACUAGGUUACCAUUGGCCGGACGACGCCCGUGACCCUCCAUUAUAAGCCAUGCCGGCGAUAGCCCCCACUCACCACGCCCCCUUCCCCACACAGAUAAGCCGCGCGCGACGGCGGCGCUCGAGACGCCGCGACGGCAGCGUGGAGACGGCCGUCGAGGUUGGAGCUUUUUUUUUUUUGCGGGUGAGGUUGGACCUGACAGGGGGUAGCGGCGCCGCAGCGAGGGUGUCCUCGUCGACCUUGGACCCACGUGCCCGUGGCUGACCUCGACGGCGGCAGUGAUGGCUGCAGCUGCUUCCUGUCGUCACCGACGGCAGUCCGCACUCGCACCAGACGUCGCCAAGGCGUGAGGGCGCCACUAGAACGCGCGGCCCUCGAGCGGGACCUCUCACUGCCGCUUCCGCCACUGGCCACUGCAGCCACGGCCGUGUGCCGCCGACGACGUUUUGUCUUUCUCUUGCUUUUCAUUUUUCAAGAUUUUGUCACUUGGUGGUCAGUUCGUAUCUUGGUCGCUGGAUUGGUCUUUCUCUCUUCCCUCCCCUGUUUCUUGGUUAUUCGUAUCUCAAUCAGUUCACAAGCGAAGUUGGUGCUCAGUUUGGAUCUAUCCCCUGUUCUGAAAAUAUUUUCUUUGAUGAAGUUGCCUUGCACUUGUUUGAUGGACUGACAGUCGCUGGUGUCCACACACGGUCCGCCGGCGGUUCUGCUCUUCUUCCUCCCUUGUCUUCAUCCCAUGAAUCCACGAACAGCAGGCAAGAACAAGGGGAGGAACCAACGAAGGCUGCGCAGCCACCGGCGAGGAGGAUGGGGCUGGUUGCUGCUGUGUUCUUGUGCACACCAACUGUUUGUAUAAAUGUUUCUGAGGGGAGUUGCUAACUUGCUAUACCAACGGGUUUUGUACUUUUGUUAAUCAGGUUGCUAUACCAACGGGUUUUGCUCAGAUCUGAUUAGUACUUUAGUAUGAUGAAGUCAUUAGUAGCGCAGUGUUAAGUAUGGUGCUUGAUCUGUACUUGUUCUGAAAUAUGGAACUCUGAAAUCUAUUCUCUCUUGCUACAAGUUCAAGAGUGAAGUGUUAAGUAAUUUUGUGCUCGUGUUUGAGUCAAAGAUCUUGUACAAUGCUGCUGUACAGGAAACUUUUUUGCC
Brachypodium distachyon (stiff brome) is the source of this 1235-nucleotide long non-coding RNA. RefSeq lists it as uncharacterized. The record is from RefSeq and is a predicted model, not a curated record. Lineage: Eukaryota; Viridiplantae; Streptophyta; Magnoliopsida; Poales; Poaceae. The transcript has 2 exons.